AAGUCGUAACAAGGUUUCCGUAGGUGAACCUGCGGAAGGAUCAUUAACACGUAUCCAACGUUAAACCCCCCUGUGAACUUUUAGCGUGCUCUUGUGUCCUGGAGAGGAACAGCAAUCCUGGUAAAUCAGCCCUAGAAAAGUUUUGAUUCAGGACCUCUGUCUAAAAGGAUGCAAUUGAGCGCUCGAGGCAAGUGGCUUGGUUUCCCCAAGCGAUUGGUACGAUUGCUGUAGGCCGAACACCGGCCGGCGACUCGGCCACCGGGCUCACGCCUCCUAAGAACACCAGUAGUUAUCUUAAGGCACCACUCCACUGCAAGUGCGCCGGAGCUGGUGAAAACUGUUAACAAUGGAUAUCUUGGUUCUC
RNAcentral lists this unclassified non-coding RNA (364 nucleotides) under fungal sp. Its description in RNAcentral is "partial internal transcribed spacer region". The stretch from base 1 to 46 matches the Rfam family "Eukaryotic small subunit ribosomal RNA", at positions 1786 to 1831 of the family's 1831-position model. The record is from RNAcentral. Lineage: Eukaryota; Fungi.